RNAcentral lists this ribosomal RNA (654 nucleotides) under uncultured archaeon. Its description in RNAcentral is "bacterial SSU rRNA". It matches the Rfam family "Archaeal small subunit ribosomal RNA", at positions 508 to 1160 of the family's 1478-position model. The record is from RNAcentral.
GCCUAAAGCGUCCGUAGCCGGCUCUGUAAGUUUUCGGUUAAAUCUGUACGCUCAACGUACAGGCUGCUGGGAAUACUGCAGAGCUAGGGAGUGGGAGAGGUAGACGGUACUCGGGAGGAAGUGGUAAAAUGCUUUGAUCUCUCGAUGACCACCUGUGGCGAAGGCGGUCUACCAGAACACGUCCGACGGUGAGGGAUGAAAGCUGGGGGAGCAAACCGGAUUAGAUACCCGGGUAGUCCCAGCUGUAAACUAUGCAAACUCAGUGAUGCACUGGCUUGUGGCCAGUGCAGUGUUGCAGGGAAGCCGUUAAGUUUGCCGCCUGGGAAGUACGUACGCAAGUAUGAAACUUAAAGGAAUUGGCGGGGGAGCACCACAAGGGGUGAAGCCUGCGGUUCAAUUGGAGUCAACGCCAGAAAUCUUACCCGGAGAGACAGCAGAAUGAAGGUCAAGCUGAAGACUUUACCAGACAAGCUGAGAGGUGGUGCAUGGCCGUCGCCAGCUCGUGCCGUGAGAUGUCCUGUUAAGUCAGGUAACGAGCGAGAUCCCUGCCUCUAGUUGCCACCAUUACUCUCAGGAGUAGUGGGGCGAAUUAGCGGGACCGCCGCAGUUAAUGCGGAGGAAGGAAGGGGCCACGGCAGGUCAGUAUGCCCCGAA